This 585-nucleotide ribosomal RNA is filed under the name Triticum aestivum (bread wheat). Its description in RNAcentral is "partial small subunit ribosomal RNA". The record is from RNAcentral. Lineage: Eukaryota; Viridiplantae; Streptophyta; Magnoliopsida; Poales; Poaceae.
AUGUGGACCUGUCUUCGUCAGCGCUAUGAGCCCUCUGGUGAUGCCUUAUACCUUUCUGUGGUUCAUCAGGAGCAUGCUCUUCAGCAGGGUGACUCUACUGUCGAUGACUUUUAUGCACAGAGUUCUGCUAUCUGGCGCCAGCUUGAUUCUCUCCGCAGUGCUGGUUGUCGUACUUGCCCCUGCUGCCAGGCUGUCCAGGCCAAUUUGGAGUUUCAUCGCGUCUACGAGUUUCUGUCUCGGCUCCGUAAGGAGUUUGAGCCCCGGCAUGCUCAGUUGUUUGCUCGUGGCCGUAUUUCUCUCAUGGAGGCGCUUUCAGAGAUUCGUGCUGAGGAGACUCGCUUACGUGGUGCUGGUUUGCUGGAGGUUCCCUCUGUGCUCGCUACUCGGGCUUCUUCCACUCCACCUGCUGGACCGACCCAUUCUCGCUCGAGUGCUCCGCCGCUCUUGCCCACUCCUUCUGGAGGCUCAGGUCGCCCCCGUUCACAUUGUGACUACUGCAACAAUGAUGGUCAUAUUGAGUCCCAGUGCUACACCAAGCGGAAACACCUGCGCAAGGCGCGAUCAUCAUCCUCAGGGACUUCGUCA